RNAcentral lists this ribosomal RNA (253 nucleotides) under uncultured bacterium. Its description in RNAcentral is "partial 16S ribosomal RNA". It matches the Rfam family "Bacterial small subunit ribosomal RNA", at positions 524 to 776 of the family's 1533-position model. The record is from RNAcentral.
UACGAAGGGGGCAAGCGUUGUUCGGAAUUACUGGGCGGAAAGGGCGCGUAGGCGGCCGAUCAAGUCAGGCGUGAAAUUCCCGGGCUCAACCUGGGGGCUGCGCUUGAUACUGAUUGGCUUGAAUGCGGGAGAGGAUAGUGGAAUUCCCAGUGUAGAGGUGAAAUUCGUAGAUAUUGGGAAGAACACCGGUGGCGAAGGCGGCUAUCUGGCCCGUAAUUGACGCUGAGGCGCGAAAGCGUGGGGAGCAAACAGG